This 81-nucleotide small nucleolar RNA is filed under the name Hucho hucho (huchen). RNAcentral describes it as "Small nucleolar RNA U2-30 (ENSHHUG00000031332.1)". The record is from RNAcentral. Lineage: Eukaryota; Metazoa; Chordata; Actinopteri; Salmoniformes; Salmonidae.
GAGCCACGAUGUAAAUCAAUAAUACCCUGAAUUUUAUUUGAAAUAUAUUUCAUGAUGGUUUCUACACUUGAACUGAGCUCU